This is a long non-coding RNA of Ictalurus punctatus (channel catfish), 2453 nucleotides long. NCBI's taxonomy places the organism in Eukaryota, Metazoa, Chordata, Actinopteri, Siluriformes, Ictaluridae. The record is from Ensembl.
UCUGGAACGUUUGACAGCUAAACGGUUUGGCACUGAGGCAGAGCAGGUACUCAGGCAUCAGACUGGGUAAGAGAGGCUUGAGUUUGAUAUGAAACCACAAGGUGACAAACGCCGUGUCCGUCAGGUCAGCGUGUGCUGGGUCAUGGAUCCGUUCUAGAAUGUUUCUAAAAGGGGAAUCUGCUGAACUAAAGUUCUGGAAGAAAGCAGGACAUUAACCAUACUUUUAGUCAGUUAUUAGUAUAGAGUGUCAGUAGUGUUAUAGUGGUAUGUCAGUAGUGUUACAGCAGUGUGUCAGUAGAGUUACAGCAGUGUGUCAGUAGAGUUACAGCGGUGUGUCAGUAGAGUUACAGCGGUGUGUCAGUAGAGUUACAGUGGUGUGUCAGUAGUGUUACAGCGGUGUGUCAGUAAGAGUUACAGCGGUGUGUCAGUAGAGUUACAGUGGUGUGUCAGUAAUGUUACAGUGGUGUGUCAGUAGAGUUACAGUGGUGUGUCAGUAGAGUUACAGUGGUGUGUCAGUAGAGUUUCAGUGGUGUGUCAGUAGAGUUACAAUGGUGUGUCAGUAGAGUUACAGUGGUGUGUCAGUAGAGUUUCAGUGGUGUGUCAGUAAAGUUUCAGUGGUGUGUCAGUAAUGUUACAGUGGUGUGUCAGUAGAGUUACAGUGGUGUGUCAGUAAUGUUACAGUGGUGUGUCAGUAGAGUUACAGUGGUGUGUCAGUAGAGUUACAGUGGUGUGUCAGUAAUGUUACAGUGGUGUGUCAGUAGAGUUUCAGUGGUGUGUCAGUAGAGUUUCAGUGGUGUGUCAGUAGAGUUUCAGUGGUGUGUCAGUAGAGUUUCAGUGGUGUGUCAGUGGUGUUACAGUGUACGCACUGUGUGGGCAAGCUGGUUCAGAAGUGUGUUGAGGUUGCUGGAGAGGUGCAGUACGAGACUGUUGACUGUUUCCCCUGUGAGCAUCAGAUUAGUGCUCUCCACACACUGCAGGAUUUUUGCCACAUUCUCCAUCACAUUAGUCACCUGGAACAACAUAACAGCACGUCACAUACAGUGCUGUGGAAAAGUAUUUGCCCCAUCCUGAUUUCUUCUGUUUUGUGUAUAUCUCACAUUAAAUUGUUUUAGAUCUUCAAACGAAAUACAACAUAAAUCAAAGACAACUGGAGUAAACACACAAUACAGUUUUUAUUUAUUGAAGCAACAAAAGUUAUCCAACACCUAUCAUCCAUUUGAAAAAUGAAUUGCCCCCUUAAACUUUAAAUCUGUCUGUGCCACCUUUAGCAGCAAUAACUGCAACCAAACUCUUCCAAUAACUGGAGAUCAGCCUUUCACAGCGCUGUGGUGGAAUUUUGGCCCACUCUUCUUUUUCAGAACUGCUUUAGUGCAGCCACACUGGAGGGUUUUCGAGCAUGAACUGAAGGUUUAAGGUCCUGCCACAGCAUUUCAAAUUUUUUUUUUUUAGCCAUUCAGAGGUGGUCUUACUUCUACGCUUUGGAUCACUGUCUUGCUGCAUAAUCCAGUUGUGCUGGAGUUUAAAUUUACAGACUGAAGACUGGACAGUCUCCUUUAGGAUUUUCUGCUAGAGAGCAGAAUUCAUGUUUCCCUCAAUUACUGCACGUUGCCCAGACCCUGAAGCAGCAGCGCAUCCCCACACCAUCACACUUCCUCCACCACGCUUGACCGUAGGUAUGAUGAUCUUUUUGUGGAGUUCGGUGUUUGGUUUACUCCAGAUGUGACGGGACUCCUGUCUUCCAAACAGUUCCACUUUCACCUCAUCAGUCCACAGAACAUUCUCCCAAAAGCUUUGAGGAUCAUCAAGGAGUGUUUUGGUGAAAUUCAGACGAGUCUUAAUGUUCUUCUGGGUUAGCAGUGGUUUUCACCUCACCACUCUUCCAUGGAGCCGUGUUCCCCCAGUGUCUUUCUGAUAGUGGAGUCAUAAACAGUGACUUUAUUGAUGAGAGAGGCCUGUAGGUCCUUUGAUGUUGUUCUGGAUGAGUAGAUCGGAUUCACUACUAUGCUGAGUUUUUCCAUUUGGAGAUAACAGCUCUCGCUGUGGUUCUUUGGAGUCCCAGAGCCUCUGAAAUAGCUUUGUCACCCUUCCCAGACUGAUGUAUUUCAAUCUCCUUCUUCCUCAUCAUUUCUAGAAUUUCUUUCAACUUUGCCAGAGUGUGUUACUACGUAAGAUCUUUUAACCAACUCCAUGCUGUUGAAAAACAUUUAUUUAAGUGUAGAUGUGAUUGAACAGGGUUUGCAGUAAUCAGGUCAGGUUGUGUCUCGUCCAGCUGAGCCCCAUUAUCAAUGCACUUUCAUAGAUUUGGGGAAUUAGUAACUACGGGGGCAAAUACAUUUUCACACAGGCCCAAUUAGUAUUGGAUAACUUAUUUGCUUCAAUAAAUAACAUUAUUAUCAUUUAUAAACUGUAUUUUGUGUUUACUCAAAUUGCCUUUAUUUUAUCUGAGAUAUAAC